This 364-nucleotide ribosomal RNA is filed under the name uncultured bacterium. RNAcentral's name for it is "partial 16S ribosomal RNA". It matches the Rfam family "Bacterial small subunit ribosomal RNA", at positions 338 to 698 of the family's 1533-position model. The record is from RNAcentral.
CCUACGGGUGGCAGCAGUGGGGAAUAUUGGUCAAUGGCCGGAAGGCUGAACCAGCCAAGCCGCGUGAGGGAGGAAGGCGCAGAGCGUGGCAGACCUCUUUUGCCGGGGGACAAAAGGCCGGACUCGUCCGGUCCUGAGGGUACCCGGAGAAUAAGCAUCGGCUCACUCCGUGCCAGCAGCCGCGGUAAUACGGGGGGUGCAAGCGUUAUCCGGAUUUGUUGGGUUUAAAGGGUGCGUAGGCUGGUAGGUAAGUCAGCGGUGAAAUGCCCCCGCUCAACGGGGGGAAGUGCCAUUGAUACUGGCAUGCUGGAAUGCGGAUGAGGUGGGAGGAAUGUGUGGUGUAGCGGUGAAAUGCAUAGAUAUC